This 261-nucleotide ribosomal RNA is filed under the name uncultured bacterium. RNAcentral's name for it is "partial 16S ribosomal RNA". It matches the Rfam family "Bacterial small subunit ribosomal RNA", at positions 92 to 354 of the family's 1533-position model. The record is from RNAcentral.
CGCGCGCGCGACGGGUGCGUAACGCGUAUGUAACCUACCUUUGACAGGGGGAUAACAUCGAGAAAUUGGUACUAAUACCCCAUAACAUCACCGGAGGCAUCUUCGGUGGUUGAAAACUCAGGUGGUCAGAGAUGGACAUGCGUUGUAUUAGCUAGUUGGUGAGGUAACGGCUCACCAAGGCGACGAUACAUAGGGGGACUGAGAGGUCAACCCCCCACAUUGGUACUGAGACACGGACCAAACUCCUACGGAAGGCAGCAG